GAUGAACGCUGGCGGCGUGCUUAACACAUGCAAGUCGAACGAAGCACCUUGAUUCGCUUCUUCGGAUGAAGAUCUUGGUGACUGAGUGGCGGACGGGUGAGUAACGCGUGGGUAACCUGCCUCAUACAGGGGGAUAACAGUAGAAAUGACUGCUAAUACCGCAUAAGACCACAGCACCGCAUGGUGCAGGGGUAAAAACUCCGGUGGUAUGAGAUGGACCCGCGUCUGAUUAGGUAGUUGGUGGGGUAACGGCCUACCAAGCCGACGAUCAGUAGCCGACCUGAGAGGGUGACCGGCCACAUUGGGACUGAGACACGGCCCAAACUCCUACGGGAGGCAGCAGUGGGGAAUAUUGCACAAUGGGGGAAACCCUGAUGCAGCGACGCCGCGUGAGCGAUGAAGUAUUUCGGUAUGUAAAGCUCUAUCAGCAGGGAAGAAAAUGACGGUACCUGACGAAGAAGCACCGGCUAAAUACGUG
RNAcentral lists this ribosomal RNA (478 nucleotides) under uncultured bacterium. RNAcentral's name for it is "partial 16S ribosomal RNA". It matches the Rfam family "Bacterial small subunit ribosomal RNA", at positions 28 to 507 of the family's 1533-position model. The record is from RNAcentral.